GAAGUGCAAUUAGGGUGGGUGCUGCCUCUUUAAGAGAAUUCCCUCAGUUCUGAGACUUUUUUUUGACACAGACUUUUGAAGAACAGACACUUUGCAAUCAAUACAUUUCUUCCGCUAUAGAUAUAAAGGAGCCCUACAUGACAGUUUGAGAAUGGCCUUUUUCUGAAUACAGUAUGCCUGUGAAUCAAGUCCUACUGACAUAAAAGUAGAUCAACCUUGACGUACCGUUCCCUGUAAAUGCUUCCUUACUUAAGUUGAUCAGAAUGCUUGGAGCCUGCAGUAGGAUAUCCUACACAAAAUAGGCCAAGGAAAUGUCUAUGGUCAGGCCUCUCAGGCCUGGCUUGCUCUGUUUGAACAUACUGCUGAGAGAGUAUGAAGAAAACUGGAAAGAGUAUUGGACUUCAACUUAGACAAUAUGGGCUUUUGAUCCCAGUUGCACCAGUUAUUAGAUGAGAAAGAUUACACAUGAGGAUAAUGGAGGAUAUGAGGACUGCCCAACAGCACACAGCUGAUGAGUGUUUGAGGCAGGAUUAGGUUGACUUCCAUGACCUACCAAAGGGUUUCCUUGGAAUGCAGUUUUACUGAAUACAGCACAAAAUAAAUUAGGCAGCAGGGGGUAAUAGGCUUUGAACUUUGGGUUAGAAGACCUAGUUGUGAUGUCUCCAGUUACUAGGCAGUUGAACUUGAGCAAAACUAGUAGCAUAUCUGAUAUCAAGAUAUUUCAUAUCUAGAGAUGAGAAGUAUAAGUGCUAGUACCUCCAACCUCACAGGUGGUUGUAAUUAAUGUUCUAAGAGUAUGUAUCUUGUCAGGAUAGAGGAAAUGUUAUCAUUUUUUUCAUUUACAACUUUUCCCUCUCCCUCAUUCAGUAAUUUCAGCAUCUAAAGCAAAUUUAUUUGAGAAUGAGAGGUGAGUUAAGGGAUGACAACUAAGGCAUGACCACUCCUGUGGUAGACUGAGAAAAGAGGUCAUAGUAGUUGAGAGGACUGCGGGAGUGAGAAGUCAUGAUUUUUGAUUUUAGGGACUAGAGUGGAGAAGAUUGCCAGCUGUUCUUCCUUCAUUCAUGAAGAGGACCAAUGAUAUCAGAAGGGUUAUUUUAUUUGUUUCACCACUACCUGAAUGUGGUCACCAGAGAGAAGUAUGAUGGAUCCAGGAAGAGGGGACUGGGUGAAUGAAGAUAGUUGGCAAUCCCUGGCAUGCCUUCUCCCUGACAGAAUAAUUUGAAUUUGGUUGUGAGGGACAAAUAAAAUAUUGCACAGUAAGCACUGUAUAAA
Molecule: long non-coding RNA, 1272 nt
Organism: Antechinus flavipes (yellow-footed antechinus)
Lineage: Eukaryota; Metazoa; Chordata; Mammalia; Dasyuromorphia; Dasyuridae
Exons: 3
Source: RefSeq, a predicted model, not a curated record